UACGAAGGGGGCUAGCGUUGCUCGGAAUUACUGGGCGUAAAGGGCGCGUAGGCGGCUAGUUUAGUCAGAGGUAAAAGCCCAGGGCUCAACCUUGGAACUGCCUUUGAUACUGGCUAUCUUGAGUUCGGGAGAGGUGAGUGGAAUGCCGAGUGUAGAGGUGAAAUUCGUAGAUAUCCGGAGGAACACCAGUGGCGAAGGCGACUUUCUGGCCUGUUCUUGACGCUGAGGCGCGAAAGCUAGGGGAGCAAACGGG
This 253-nucleotide ribosomal RNA is filed under the name uncultured bacterium. Its description in RNAcentral is "partial 16S ribosomal RNA". It matches the Rfam family "Bacterial small subunit ribosomal RNA", at positions 524 to 776 of the family's 1533-position model. The record is from RNAcentral.